Molecule: ribosomal RNA, 1341 nt
Filed under: uncultured bacterium
Lineage: Bacteria
Description: partial 16S ribosomal RNA
Rfam family: Bacterial small subunit ribosomal RNA
Source: RNAcentral
GACGAACGUUGGCGGCGUGCUUAACACAUGCAAGUCGAACGGUAAGGCUCCAGCUUGCUGGGGUACACGAGUGGCGAACGGGUGAGUAACACGUGGGUGACCUGCCCUGCACUUCGGGAUAAGCCUGGGAAACUGGGUCUAAUACCGGAUAGGACCGCACCGUGAGGGUGUGGUGGAAAGUUUUUUCGGUGUGGGAUGGGCCCGCGGCCUAUCAGCUUGUUGGUGGGGUAAUGGCCUACCAAGGCGGCGACGGGUAGCCGGCCUGAGAGGGUGGACGGCCACAUUGGGACUGAGACACGGCCCAGACUCCUACGGGAGGCAGCAGUGGGGAAUAUUGCACAAUGGGCGGAAGCCUGAUGCAGCGACGCCGCGUGGGGGAUGACGGCCUUCGGGUUGUAAACUCCUUUCACCAUCGACGAAGGGUUUCUGACGGUAGAUGGAGAAGAAGCACCGGCUAACUACGUGCCAGCAGCCGCGGUAAUACGUAGGGUGCGAGCGUUGUCCGGAAUUACUGGGCGUAAAGAGCUCGUAGGUGGUUUGUCGCGUCGUCUGUGAAAUUCCGGGGCUUAACCCCGGGCGUGCAGGCGAUACGGGCAUAACUUGAGUACUGUAGGGGAGACUGGAAUUCCUGGUGUAGCGGUGAAAUGCGCAGAUAUCAGGAGGAACACCGGUGGCGAAGGCGGGUCUCUGGGCAGUAACUGACGCUGAGGAGCGAAAGCAUGGGGAGCGAACAGGAUUAGAUACCCUGGUAGUCCAUGCCGUAAACGGUGGGCGCUAGGUGUGGGUUUCCUUCCACGGGAUCCGUGCCGUAGCUAACGCAUUAAGCGCCCCGCCUGGGGAGUACGGCCGCAAGGCUAAAACUCAAAGGAAUUGACGGGGGCCCGCACAAGCGGCGGAGCAUGUGGAUUAAUUCGAUGCAACGCGAAGAACCUUACCUGGGCUUGACAUAUACAGGAUCGCGCCAGAGAUGGUGUUUCCCUUGUGGCUUGUAUACAGGUGGUGCAUGGUUGUCGUCAGCUCGUGUCGUGAGAUGUUGGGUUAAGUCCCGCAACGAGCGCAACCCUUGUCUUAUGUUGCCAGCACGUUGUGGUGGGGACUCGUAAGAAACUGCCGGGGUUAACUCGGAGGAAGGUGGGGAUGACGUCAAAUCAUCAUGCCCCUUAUGUCCAGGGCUUCACACAUGCUACAAUGGUCGGUACAGUGGGUUGCCAGUCCGUGAGGGCGAGCUAAUCCCGCAAAGCCGGUCUCAGUUCGGAUCGGGGUCUGCAACUCGACCCCGUGAAGUCGGAGUCGCUAGUAAUCGCAGAUCAGCAACGCUGCGGUGAAUACGUUCCCGGGCCU